Molecule: long non-coding RNA, 570 nt
Organism: Ruditapes philippinarum (Manila clam)
Lineage: Eukaryota; Metazoa; Mollusca; Bivalvia; Venerida; Veneridae
Exons: 3
Source: RefSeq, a predicted model, not a curated record
UUAUGUAAAUAAUUUUCUCUCAACAAUUAAAAUUAGUCUGUUAUCAUACAGGUAUAGAUGUAGAACCACCAAAAAAGCAGCUACAUAUAACAUUGGCAUACCAGUAUUCUGGGGAGCAGCAUGAUAAAUUAACUAGUUUAGCUAAACAGAUUGAUCUCAGGGCUGAAUGUGUGUGGGAACUCAGGGCAUACUCUAGGGAUCCUAGAAUUGGGAAAAGUGAGGUAAGGAAAGUGAAGCAGGCUUACAAAGGUUCACUUGAGGAUGAGCUAGACUUGAUAAUGGGAGACUACGUGUUCAUGGAUAUGAAUGAGAGCACUAGAAGUACGGAUAAAUGGUAUAACGGAACAUCCUGGCUUACUGGACAACAAGGAAUGUUCCCUGGACCAUUCACAGAGAGAACGGCUGAAACUUGGACAUGGGCACUGCAUGAAUCACAUUUAAUGGGAACAAAUGAAGAGGAAGAGCUGCAGCAGCCCCACUGACUAACGGGGUGCGGCCACCACCAUGUACAGGUGGUCAGGAGGAAUAUGAGGCCCUCUGGAAAAAUCCCGAUGACCUCUAUGCAAAGGU